This 256-nucleotide ribosomal RNA is filed under the name uncultured bacterium. RNAcentral describes it as "partial 16S ribosomal RNA". It matches the Rfam family "Bacterial small subunit ribosomal RNA", at positions 521 to 776 of the family's 1533-position model. The record is from RNAcentral.
UAAUACGGAGGGGGUUAGCGUUGUUCGGAAUGACUGGGCGUAAAGCGCGCGUAGGCGGGCUGGAAAGUUGGGGGUGAAAUCCCGGGGCUCAACCCCGGAAUGGCCUUCAAAACUCCCAGCCUAGAGUUCGAGAGAGGUGAGUGGAAUUCCGAGUGUAGAGGUGAAAUUCGUAGAUAUUCGGAGGAACACCAGUGGCGAAGGCGGCUCACUGGCUCGACACUGACGCUGAGGUGCGAAAGCGUGGGGAGCAAACAGG